RNAcentral lists this transfer RNA (67 nucleotides) under Ochthebius remotus. Its description in RNAcentral is "tRNA-Ser". The record is from RNAcentral. Lineage: Eukaryota; Metazoa; Arthropoda; Insecta; Coleoptera; Hydraenidae.
GAAAUAAGUAAUUCAAAAUUAAGCUUCUAACUUAAAUUUUUAGUGGUGAAAUUCCAUUAUUAUUUCU